UUAUGAAAUUUAGGCAGUUCUUAAAAGAUGAAGUUUUCAACACACCCACAUCCAUUCACUAAAAUUAAGGGAUAUGAACUCUGCAAACAGACUUCCUUUAUGCAGUUUUGGCUUUCCUCCACAGUUAUGAAAGUCAAUCCAUGCCAGUAAUGUCUAAAUUCACGAUGGGGAUUUUUUAAAGUACUGCAGUGAAUAUAUUCUCCUAGUGAUGCGUCGUUGGCCCUGGAACAUGGCUGAGGCCAGGAUAAGCAUCUGGAUGCUGGUACCUGGUGGCACAGACUUGUCUGGAAGACACAUUAAUAAUCCCAGGUGUUCUUUCAUAAUACCCUGAUGAAGUUUGUGAGCAAGUGACCUCAAAAGACAUUUCAUUUCCUGUUUUUCUAUUAUUCAGUGUUGUAUAGUGGUUUUCCUUUGAAAUGAAAACCUUUGCAUCUCAGAGGGAAACUUAAGACACAGGAUGUAAGAAGGGAAGUGAAACAACAGGACAUUUUAAGACAUGAAGUUUAUAGGAAGAUAAAAAUCAAAACCAACAAGCAAAACAAAACAAGACAAACCCCCUAAGAGGAUGCUCUGAGGAAGAUGACUACUCCAUCCUGCAGGGAAUCUCAUUAAGAGGGGAAUUCAGAAAAGCUCUGGGAAGUACCUGAAAAUGACCAUAUUCACCAUGCCCUUCCCUCUUGGAGAGUAUAAAAACAGUAAAGAAUUCUGAGUAUCCUUCUUAGAUGAGUCUAGCUACGUGAAAGAAGCAGAAAUAAAACAAAGUCUCUGGGAGAAACAAAGACCAACUGAGCUGCCUAGAAAAGACUCACACCAACUGGGAAUGGACGCCCUCCAUGUGCAGCUGCCUGCAGGUUGUAUGGUGUGCUCCAGGCUUCCAGCUCUACGAACUGUCACCUGUGCCUGGGGUUGGCUUUGAUGAUGCAACGGUCUUUGGGUCAUUUCUGUUCCUGUAAGUAACCCCUCACCCAUAUUCCUAUAAGAAACCCCAAUAAAACUCAUUGGUUCACCAA
This is a long non-coding RNA of Mesocricetus auratus (golden hamster), 1010 nucleotides long. RefSeq lists it as uncharacterized. The transcript has 2 exons. The record is from RefSeq and is a predicted model, not a curated record. NCBI's taxonomy places the organism in Eukaryota, Metazoa, Chordata, Mammalia, Rodentia, Cricetidae.